AGUUAUUGUAAAGACAUCGAGUGAGCACAUCAUACAUCAUUUUGUGUUAGGGCAAUAAAAUUUCAUUUUAGAGAUAUUGUUUUCGAUACAAGCCAUAGUUCGGUUAUUAUGUCGGUUGGCGAUCUUUGUGAAGCAUUUUUAUCGUCCACAACAUCUGGAAAUUGGAACAAUUGGAAACAGUCUUUGCACAAUAUUGGAGUGGAACUGGAAACACAGAACCAUCCCAAUUUUAAAUUACUUCAAGAUGCUGCCUGCGAUUUAAUGAUGUACAAUAAGCCUGGCUAUUGGAAUUGGUUGAAUGCAACAAUGAAGAAACUUAUUGCAGAUUCAACAUCUUUAUUCGAUCCUCUCCCCGUCUUGCCGGACUAUGAUGAACUGAGCAGCGAGCAGUUAGUGCGGCAAUACGAAGAAAAUGACGGAAACUAUUCGAAGCAAGACAUUUUACAUGAACUGAAAGAACGAUAUCCGACGUUGAUUCAAUGUGAUUUUUGGCCGGAUUUUGAUAAAAUGAAAUUGAACUUGAGAGAGAUAUUGAAAAGUGUCUUGUGAUGUCAAUAAAUUUGAUCAUUUUCUCGCAAUGA
This is a long non-coding RNA of Bradysia coprophila, 581 nucleotides long. RefSeq lists it as uncharacterized. Lineage: Eukaryota; Metazoa; Arthropoda; Insecta; Diptera; Sciaridae. The record is from RefSeq and is a predicted model, not a curated record.